RNAcentral lists this unclassified non-coding RNA (377 nucleotides) under uncultured Parachlamydiaceae bacterium. RNAcentral's name for it is "contains 16S-23S intergenic spacer region". The record is from RNAcentral. Lineage: Bacteria; Pseudomonadati; Chlamydiota; Chlamydiia; Parachlamydiales; Parachlamydiaceae.
UCCUGGUUAACCCAGGCAGUCUCAUUAGAGUUCCCAUCUUUCUUGUUGGCAACUAAUGAUAAGGGUUGCGCUCGUUGCGGGACUUAACCCAACACCUCACGGCACGAGCUGACGACAGCCAUGCAGCACCUGUGCAGUGGUCCCGAAGGACAUGAUCAUCUCUGAUCACUUCCACUGCAUGUCAAGCCUGGGUAAGGUUCUUCGCGUUGCAUCGAAUUAAACCACAUGCUCCACUGCUUGUGCGGGUCCCCGUCAAUUCUUUUGAGUUUUACACUUGCGUGCGUACUCCCCAGGCGGUAUACUUAUCGCGUUAGCUUCGGCACAACCGGGGUUGAGUCCAGUUACACCAAGUAUACAUCGUUUACGGCAAGGACUAC